Molecule: ribosomal RNA, 1050 nt
Filed under: Pseudogracilibacillus auburnensis
Lineage: Bacteria; Bacillati; Bacillota; Bacilli; Caryophanales; Bacillaceae
Description: bacterial SSU rRNA
Rfam family: Bacterial small subunit ribosomal RNA
Source: RNAcentral
GCAGGAGCAGGUCAGAUCCCUUCGGGGUGACGACCUGUGGAAUGAGCGGCGGAUGGGUGAGUAACACGUGGGUAACCUGCCUGUAAGCUUGGGAUAACUCCGGGAAACCGGUGCUAAUACCGAAUAAAACUUUCAUUCUCCUGAAUGAAAGAUGAAAGGCGGCUUUUGCUGUCACUUACAGAUGGACCUGCGGCGCAUUAGCUAGUUGGUGAGAUAAAAGCUCACCAAGGCAACGAUGCGUAGCCGACCUGAGAGGGUGAUCGGCCACACUGGGACUGAGACACGGCCCAGACUCCUACGGGAGGCAGCAGUAGGGAAUCUUCCGCAAUGGACGAAAGUCUGACGGAGCAAUGCCGCGUGAGUGAUGAAGGUUUUCGGAUCGUAAAACUCUGUUGUGAGGGAAGAACAAGUACCGAAGUAAUAUGUCGGUACCUUGACGGUACCUUACCAGAAAGCCCCGGCUAACUACGUGCCAGCAGCCGCGGUAAUACGUAGGGGGCGAGCGUUGUCCGGAAUUAUUGGGCGUAAAGGGCACGCAGGCGGUCUUCUAAGUCUGAUGUGAAAUCUCGUAGCUUAACUACGAGCGGUCAUUGGAAACUGGGAGACUUGAGUACAGAAGAGGAGAGUGGAAUUCCACGUGUAGCGGUGAAAUGCGUAGAUAUGUGGAGGAACACCAGUGGCGAAGGCGGCUCUCUGGUCUGUAACUGACGCUGAGGUGCGAAAGCGUGGGGAGCGAACAGGAUUAGAUACCCUGGUAGUCCACGCCGUAAACGAUGAGUGCUAGGUGUUAAGGGGUUUCCGCCCCUUAGUGCUGCAGUUAACGCAUUAAGCACUCCGCCGGGGGAGUACGGCCGCAAGGCUGAAACUCAAAAGAAUUGACGGGGGCCCGCACAAGCGGUGGAGCAUGUGGUUUAAUUCGAAGCUACGCGAAGAACCUUACCAGGUCUUGGACAUCCCUCUGGCCGCUAUAGAAGAUAUAGCUUUUCCUUUCGGGGAACAAAGGUGACAGGUGGGUGCAUGGGCUGUCCUCCACCUCCGUGUCCUGGAAAU